GUGGCUUCUGCGAGGAGGCGUGAGUGGAAUUACAUGGACGGAAGAGGAAAUGCAUUGGCCGGCCCAGCUCACCGAGUCUCUGAGGCAUGCUGCGAACGUUGCAGAGGAAGCCAGAGAGAACCUUGCCUUCAAGGAAUUUAGGCUGUUGGGGGAUAAUGCGAUGCUGUGGCCAGUGUCCAGGACACUGCGCUAGAGUUUGCAGUAGUUUUAAUAUGCUUGACCACCCACGAACUGUGAUCUUAGAAAAGUCACUUGGGUUAGGAGUCAAAGGAUUUAAAGCCCACAAAGCCUGAAACGUAAAUCCUAUACACAUGCACGCUAUUACUUUUCAUAUGAGAAAGGAAAAUAUAAUCCGUGUUCCACAUGAUUAUGUAAAGACUGGAAUUGAUGUACAUGCAGUAAAGACUAAAAUUGUGACGAGAUCAUUUAGCAGAAACCACUACUUCAAAAUAGGACCUCAAACAGUUACCUGUGUAAGUUCAGGACUGGUUGAGCAAAGGGAAAGGAUUAAUAUGAUUGGAGAUGUAAAAUCAGUGGAAUUUUUGGCAUUUCAGUAAAAUGUCUUUAUCAGCUGGGUGUGGUGGCUCAGCCCUGUAAUCCCAACACUGUGGGAGGCCAAGGUGGGAGGAUCAUUUGAGCCCAGGAAUUGGAGAGUUGGAGACCAGCUUGGGCAACAUAAAGACCCCGUCUCUAUGGGAAAUUAACCACCUCUCAAGUGGUGCUGAGGUGGGAGGAUAGCUUGAGCCUGGGAAGUCAAGGUUGCAGUGAGCUGUGGUGACUCCAUUAUACUCCAGCCUGGGUGACAGAGCAGGACCUUGUCUCAAAAGAAAACAAAAAAGCCCUUAUUAGUGGCAAACUAAAUAAGCCUCUAACCCGUCUUCAAGUAAAGGAAGUUAUGAUAGUAUUUUCAUUUAUGCAUUUUAAGAAACUUCGACUGACUAUGGCCAGCAACUGGGAUAGAAAGAUGGACAUCAGCCGGCUGUGGUGGCUCACGCCUGUAAUCCCAGCACUUUGGGAGGCCGAGGUAGGCGGAUCACCUGAGGUCGAGAGUUCAAGACCAGCCUGACCAACAUGGAGAAACCUCAUCUCUACUAAAAAUACAAAAUUAGCCAGGUGUGGUGGUGCAUGCCUGUAAUCCCAGCUACUCGGGAGGCUGAGGCAGGAGAAUCGCUUGAACCUGGGAGGUGGAGGUUGCUGUGAGCCAAAAUCGCACCAUUGCACUCCAGCCUGCGCAAGAAGAGCGAAACUCUGUCUCAAAAAAAAAAAAAAAAAAAAAGUGGACAAAAUGUAGUCCUAGGUCCUUGCAUUUGGCACAUUCAAGUUUGAUAAUACCAUUAGUUAUUGAGUAUUGUUGACCAGGCAUCGUGCUCCAUCAUUAAACACAUUAUCUGGUUUAUCUUUACAACAGGCUAAUGAGUUAGGUAUUAUGCCCCUCAUUGCCAAAAUUAGGAAGGAAACUAAGACCCAGAAGGAAUGAUUUUCAAGGCCACACAAUAAAUUGCAGAAUUUGGUUUCCAAGUCAGUCUGAAUUCAAGGUCCAUGUUCCUAACCACAGUGUUUUGCUGCAAACAAACACAGUUCACUGGGAUAAGUGCAGUUAUGGUGGCUUGUACAAAAUGUUCUGUGGUAGUACAGGCAGGGAGUGACAGCUUUAGCCUGCUAAACAGUCAAGACAGGCAUCACAUUCAAGUAACGUUAGAGCUGAGCCUGAAGGAUGGACAGGAUUUUGCAAGUGGAGGUGGGGAGAAGAGUUUUCUGGGCAGAGAGAACUGCGUACAAAGACAGAAGACCCUGAAAGCACAGAGCUUGUAGUUGGGGGCCCCUGAGCAUCUGGAAGAGAGGACAGGAAAUGAGGCAGGAACAGCUGAAGAGCAUCUUCUCCAGAGGUGAGUUCUGCCCCAGAGGCCAUGGGAGAGCCAGUUAAAGCGUUUAAGUGAGGGGUGGCACAUUGAGUCCAGUGUUUUAGACUGAUCUGCCAGCAGCAUUGUGGGUUGGCUGGGGUGCCAACAUUCAGCACUUCAUAACUGUUUACAUGUAUAUAAACAGCCUUGGCAUGUGAGACCACUGACAGUUUGCAUUUGUCUGUGUGAUGACCUGAUUAGUGUUUACAUCCUCCACCAGACUGUACAAGCUCCAUGAGGGCAGGGAAUGAGUCUGUUUUUGUUACCCUUACAUCACCAGCUCUUAUCACUACUCCUGGAACACAGAGAGAAUGGAAAAAAUAUUUAAAGGUUGAAUAAACGUCAUGGAAUCUCAUUCUGAUUUCUGGGGGCUCUAACCAGCAAAAAGAUGAAAAGACUGACGUAGAAGUAAACAAUUACAAUACAGUAGACAGUUUACUGUUUCAAUGAUUAAUUGUGCAAAGUAAUCUACCUGUUUACUUUUUUUAUUGCAAGUAACUUUUUCCACUUUAAUUGGGAAAGAUUUCCACAGCUGAGAAAAAAGCAAUUACAUAGCUACCGAAUUAUCUUUCCAGAUGAGUGCUGGCUUAUUCUUGAGGGUGGAGGUGACUGUGAUUUGAGAACACUGGAAAAGAAACCGCCUCAUUUCAGAAAAAUCCCUGUGAUGAACUUAAAUGACUCGAGAUGGGGAAAUGGUCACUGAAGCAGUAGCCAUGAAUUUAGGAGCUUAAAUUACUAAGAAAACUGUGUUUAAAAUAAACAGCCAAAGAAUGGCAAUAAACCAGCCCGGGGAGACUGAUGACAGCGCUCUUCAUGAAGCCCAUACUUGUCACUCUGCCACUCUGUAAUCUCACAUUCCGUGAAGUCUUUGAGCAGCCAGGACCCAUCCACUUUUCCUACGCCCUCUGCUCCAUAACGUAGGAGGUAUGGAAUUUGAAAGGAGUGUUUUUGGUUACUUUGCCUCACUGAAACUCAGGAGAAGUGGUACAAGGACGAAAACUCCUUUGCUUAAUUUCUCUAACCUAGAAGUUGAUCUAAUUUAUGAGUAAAAGAUCCUUCCAACCACAGAUUAGCACAUGAAAGAAAUAGCUCUGGCCUAGGGAAAUGAAGCCUUAGCAAAGAAGGUAUCCCAGUGAACGUGAGCAAAGGGCCUAGAUGCUGUAUAGUUCUGCAUCUAUGUCUACAUGUCACUUAUUGAGGACAUACUAUGUACUUACACUGUGAUAGAUCCUAGUCAUACCAAGGUGUAAAGACCAACAUACAUGAAAACAGUUAUGAAGUGCUGAAUGUUGGCACUCAUAGAUAUUAGGUUCCAAUCCCUGGAAUCUAUAAAUGGCUUCAAAGGGUCUUGCAAAUGUGUUUUAAGGAUCUUGAGAGAGUGAGAGUAUCCUGGAACAUCCAGGUGGGUUCUCUGUGCAGUUGCAAGUUUUCUGAUGAAGGACAGAAGGAAAUUUGACACAGACAGGAGAGGAGGCAGCAAUGUGACUAUGGAGGCAGUGAUGAGAGGGAUACAGUGAUGGGCUAAGGAAUGCUGGCAGCCACCAGAGCUGGAAGAGGCAAGGAACACCUUUCCCCUAGAGCCUCGGGAGGGAGUGUGGCUUUGCCAAUACCCUCACUUCAGCCUGUUAAUCUAAUUUCAGACUUCUGGCCUCUAGAACUAUGAGAGAAUAAAUU
RNAcentral lists this long non-coding RNA (3575 nucleotides) under Homo sapiens (human). RNAcentral's name for it is "HSALNT0021765". The record is from RNAcentral. Lineage: Eukaryota; Metazoa; Chordata; Mammalia; Primates; Hominidae.